ACCGUAGCGAAUUUCUCGGUAAAAAAAACCCCGAGUGGCACUUCUUUAUUUCCGAAUUCCCGGCACUUUUGUUUUACAUUUUAUUUCCUGGCUGACAUAAUCACGUGCGUGAUGACGUCAGCACGGGGAAACAGCCUGCCUGAAGCUCAGUGUGCAUGCUUUUCACAUUUCCGUCUGAAAUGCGCUCAAAAUCCUUGGCGGGAAUAACUAAAGUGAGCAAGGCAUCUUUCAUGAUGUAUUGAUGGAACAGCCAUUUGAAGCUGUACUGCGAGCGAGGCUGGCGUUUGAUGGACAAAGCAGAGUGUUGCGUUGCUGCAGCUCUGUUUGAUAUGUUGCUAACUUGCUGCUGACUGGAAAGGCUUCAACUUCUUUUCGUUGAUGAAUAGAUGACUGUUUGGUUUCGACUUAUUUUUCUACCUGAAGGAGCACUGAUUUAUAUGAACUGAUUGUAAGAUCUACAUGUGGGGAUUUGAAAGAGAGAAAAUACUGAAGUUCAGAAAAUACAGUGCAUACUGAGUUGGACAGAAGAUACUGAACAAGGUAAAGGGGGAGUAAAAACUGAGCAGUAUUUCAAGCAUCAAAAUAUAUGAAGGAGAAGAAAGUACUGUUUUUAUAACUGGUGGUUCUAUGGGUGUGCAUAUAUUUAGUAUGAUCUGUUAAGUCCAUGAGGUGGACUUCUUGAAGAAGGUACUCAAACUUGGAGACUCGGAUGAGAUUAAAAAAGUUGUUUACAGCCACAGCCCUCCCGUGACAACUUGCAACACUGCGGCAGCCAACCAAAGAGGAUGGUGUGUCAAUGCAACGACAUCACGUCAAGUAGAAAUAUUUCCAUAUCGUUUCCUGGUUUUAGUGGCGUUGCAGCUUGUUCAAAGCUACUGUACUUGAGACUUUUAUUGUCUUACCGUUUCCGAUAUCCUGCCCUUGCAAUCUGUGUGAUAUACUCCUCAUUAGUGAAGGUGCUGCCAUUUAUUCUAGCCAGUACUGUAAUCUGCUUGAAAUACUCAAAAUGUACUUGCCAAGUACUAGGAUGUAAAGUAAAUGAGCAACUGGUAUUUAAAAGACAUCAAAACAAACUUUAGAAACAAAAUAUGACCAAUAAACACCAUCAAAAGGCACACCAUCAGUACUAGGAUUCCUGCACAUGUCUGAGUUCUUCAUUGUGUGUUCCCAUCAUCAGCUAUCCCCUUUUAUGCAGGAACAAUCCUUGUUUGGACAAUUGUUCCUGAGGGAAUAUAUGAAAAAAUAUCCUAAGUUAUUAGCCAAAAAUAUUUCCCAACUUUCCACUAAUUUGUAUAAAAGACCUGCUUUGUAUUUGAAAAUGUUACUAUUAAAUGAAACGGUACAACAAUUAAAUUCUA
Molecule: long non-coding RNA, 1358 nt
Organism: Protopterus annectens (West African lungfish)
Lineage: Eukaryota; Metazoa; Chordata; Ceratodontiformes; Protopteridae
Exons: 2
Source: RefSeq, a predicted model, not a curated record